AGAAGAACUGUUGACCGUGGUCUCAUUUGUUCUACGUUUGUCAUUAAAGCACCAAACGGUCUGGCAAGAAACUGCAUAGGAAUUGAUGAUGUUCUAAAAAGCUCUGGUCUUUCUCACUCCAUUUAUGAAUAUACAUUUAUACUCCAGGGGUACCUGUGCUUUGCUAAUGGGUCUCAUUAUCAUCCCUGAACCUGAGCUUAACAGCAGUCUGUAUUCUGAAGUGGUUCCAGAUUCAAUGCUCUUCCUCUUCUCAACUGUCCCAAACAGCAA
Pezoporus flaviventris is the source of this 270-nucleotide long non-coding RNA. RefSeq lists it as uncharacterized. NCBI's taxonomy places the organism in Eukaryota, Metazoa, Chordata, Aves, Psittaciformes, Psittacidae. The record is from RefSeq and is a predicted model, not a curated record. The transcript is spliced from 3 exons.